This 522-nucleotide ribosomal RNA is filed under the name Triticum aestivum (bread wheat). RNAcentral describes it as "partial small subunit ribosomal RNA". The record is from RNAcentral. Lineage: Eukaryota; Viridiplantae; Streptophyta; Magnoliopsida; Poales; Poaceae.
AUGGCGGCGCUUCGAGUCGCGGCGAGGAGGCUCGUCGGCGGUGGCCAGACGCCGGCGGUGGCUGUGGACAAGGCGCAACGCCGGCUCUUCCCGAGGCUCUCCCAGGUCGACCGGGCUAGGUCCACCACAUCCUCCGCUGCUGCUGCCGCAGACACCAAUCUGGCGGCGGCCAAGGGCGGUGAAGACCGGGAGAAACUCCUGACAGAGAUCCAUAACAUGAGAGAGGAGCUGUAUGAUAAGGUUUUGCACGCGCAAAGGACCUACAAUAUCCCUGGCAGGGCAGGCAAAAAUUUCAGUCGGCUGCGCGAGGAGCUCGCCAUGCAAGUGGAUCCUAGACCCUGGGACACCACAUGGCGCCACACGCGAUUCCUGAAUGUACUUGAGCGUUGCAUCGGAUUUGCGGCUUUGUCCUUCAGCUCGUAUGUGCUCAUGGGCAUGGCCGUUGGUAAGAUCGUUGAAUUGGAUCCAGAUGAAAAGCAAUGGAUCAAGAAGAAAAGAGGGGGAGGCACACAAGCAAAGUGA